Hippopotamus amphibius kiboko is the source of this 7737-nucleotide long non-coding RNA. RefSeq lists it as uncharacterized. The transcript has 7 exons. The record is from RefSeq and is a predicted model, not a curated record. NCBI's taxonomy places the organism in Eukaryota, Metazoa, Chordata, Mammalia, Artiodactyla, Hippopotamidae.
CACCCCCACGCCCUUUGACUUCCCAGGAGAAGAAGGGCAGGUGUGGCUGGAGGGGAAGCUGCAAAGCCAGUAACAAAGUGUUUGCUUUGAACCAACUUGGUUUUGGCUGCAUCACCCAGAGUUCACGCCAGAUUUGCUUCACACCCACUGACAGUGUCAGGCCUGGCACUAGGGACUCGAGGGAGCGGACGGAUGUGCGGGUACACCAAAGCGUGGCCAGAGGGACAGCUCAAUGGGCAGACGAAGGCUGUGUGGGUAGAUGGACAGUCAAUGGAGGAUGCUGGUGGGUGAGCGGGUGGACCGGUGGUUGGAUGACGGGAUGGACUUCUGCGUGCACGGCUGGCUGGUGGGUAGCCUGAUGGGGUAGCUGCAUACCUUUGGGCGGAUGAAGCAGGUUCAGCUCACAACCGGAAAAGUAGCAGGUCAAGGUUCCCAGAGUAUGAAAUGUCAGCCUCCAGCGGCAAUGACAUUCACCCAGAGACACUAAAAAUAGACGCAAAACAGAAGCAUCAGGUCUUGGGCGACUGAAGAAAUAAGAGACAAGAACGUGAACUUGAGAAGGGUCAGCCUAGAAGGACCUUGCUCUUUCAAGGAUGACCUUGCCAUAUGUAAAAUUCAGAUGGAAGCAGAACCUGCAGUGAGAUGUGACCCCGGGGAAGUCUGGGGUUUGGCAGGACUCCUCUUCUUGGCCCAAGAAGGCACCGUUUGUUGUCCUUCCCAGCAAUGAGGCAGCACAGUCCAAGAGAACGUCUGUGGUGACAGAAAUGUUCUCCAUCUGCUCUAGACAACAGGGAGCUACUAUCCCCACGCAGGCGUCCAGCCCUUGACAUGUGACCAUUGUGUUUCAGCCACAAAAUUAUCCCUUUGAUUUAAUUUUAUUUUAUUUAGACUUAAAUAGCCAUAUUUAAAUGGCAGCUCGUGGCUACCGUACUGAGUGGCAUGGUUUUAGGCCCUAGGGAAAGGAGAGCUACAAUUGAUUAGCAAUGUCUACCAGGGAGACAGGACAGGAAGGUAAGAUACGAGCGCUGCGUGACUGAAUGAGCAAGGAAACUGGUGUGAGGUAGGUCACCAGAGGCCCAAGUCGUUGAUGCUGGUGCCUGCACAGUGUUCACAUUUAGAAGAAAAAAAUAUCUGUGAAGUUUAGUGCCACAUCCCCCCAUCCUUCAGUCUCACUAUCUUUGCUCCAGGCAACUGCCAGUCUGCUAACUGGUUUCCCUCCCUGGGGUCCCCUAUUUCUAAUGCAUUCUCUACACAGCAGCCAGAAGAGUCCUUCCAAAAUACUAACCCAACCACGUUCUACCCUGCUCAAGACCUUGAUCACCACAGCCAUCGACAGCCUUCCAUACCAUGCCUCUCUGGUCUUGUCCCCUUUCAUACUUCUCCGUUUCCACCUCACUGAUGCUAGCUGGAUCUUUUGCUGCUCCAACGGCCAGGAAGCUCCGAAGACAAGGGCUAUCUCUUACCCCAUCUUGGAACCCCCCCACCCAAAGCACAGGACCUAAAUACCUCCUACUGGAAGGUUCACAUGAUUCCAGGAACUCCCAUGCAUUUUCCUAUUGUGCCCUCAAAAAUAAGAAGUACCAUUAUUGCUGUGUUUCAUAGAUGAGGAAGCUGAAGCUCAAAGAGGGGAAGGGUUUGGCUAAGGACAGGCAUGAAAAUGGCAGAUGUGAGACACAGACCUGGGUAGGUGUCACCCUCAAACCUUGCUUUCUGCACAGAGGACUCUGCUUCAACAGAGUGCUGUGCUGAGAUUGGAAACCAGGUCACAAGACUCCAGUCCAGUAUUUCUUCCACUACUAACUCAAUAUAUAUUAGGUGAAAGAAGGGAUGGAUGGAUGGAUGAUGGAUGGAUGGAUGAUGGGUGGGUGGAUGGAUGGAUGGGUAGGUGGAUGGAUGGAUGGGUGACAGAUGGAUGAUGGAUGUGUGGAUAGACGGAUGGAUGGAUGGAUGUGUGGAUAGAUGGAUGAAUGGAUGGAUGGAUGGAUGGAUAGAUUGGUGGACGUGUGGAUAGAUGGAUGGACAUGUGGAUGGACGCAUGCAUACACUCAAGAAUGAAUGAAAAGUCAACGAAACACAGUAAGAAGUGAAGUAAAAGGUCAUGACUAAGGAAGUGGGUAAGAUAAUGGUCUGCCUUCUUCGUAAGAAUUUUUCAGGUUUAUCAAAAAAUCAGGUCGCCCAAAACAUUCUUUGAGGCUUUUGUUUUUAAAGAGAUAAAGUGAAUGGUAAGCCCUGUGUGUAUCAAGAAAGCCCCAGGCUGUGCCAGGGCCUGUUUCCCUCUCUCUCCCUCUGCCACCACCCCCACCUCCUCUGCACGCUCACUGAGCUCCUCCCCUAUGCCGCUUUCCCAUGGGAAGGCUGAGAAACAAUAGCAAUUUCUUCUGAAUGGAUCUCUUCCCUGAGCCAAAGAGUAAACAGGAGCCAGGGAAGAGCCGGCCGGUGUGUAGCUACUCCGCGGGGAUUACAUAACCAGGACAUACCUGGGAGAGGCGCUGAUCCAGGGGAUUUUAACAGGGGUGGGAGGAGGCAGGGCGCACCCAGCACAGGAAUGGCCGUGCAGGUACCUGACCUCACUGGGAACUGGAGCCAGAGUGUCCGGGAGGAAGGAAACUCGAGUGUCACUUUCCGAGUGCGUUCUUACACUAAGAUAGGUCCCUGCUCGAUCAUUUUGUUUAGUCUUCACAAUAGUGCACCAGGACUGGACCUGCAUCAGGACAGGAGCCAAAGAGAAGCCGGACACUGCCGCUGCGUGGGAAAGCGUCGGUUCUGGAGAUACAUCGGUGAGCGUCCCCAUCCGUAAAGUGGAGACAGUGUGAGGAUUCCGUGAGGGUAUGUGGUGAUGCCUGCUGGGCACUGGUGAGCCCAUAGACCUGUGUGUGCCUGCAGAGAAGCUUCACGGAGGUGUCCCUGUGCCUGGACAUCCCUGCUGUCUGGGCCAUAUGGGGCUCCUGGACCAAACAGGAAGAAACUGAGGCUCAGAGAGGCAAAUGACUGACCCAAGUUCACACAACUAAUGAGAUGGUGGAGUUAGGAUUUGAACCCAUGUCUGUCUGACUCAGGCCUGUGGCAGACAGAGGUGAGUCGGCAGCCACUUUCCCUCCCAACUAGAGAAGCUGGAGGGAGAGCCCUGGGCUGGAGACACAUCUCUAGCCUUGACACUCACCUGACGUGUGUCCCCGGAAGGCACUGCGCAUGUUGGGGACUCUGCCACAUGUGGGCAAUCAGACAGGAGUGAAAACCCAGGUGGGUACAGGUGGAGUUGCUUGGUUGCAGUCCGUGGGGCCCUGGAGGUCCCCUUAGAGUCUCUGGUGCUACGGCUCGGAGGUGAGGGGUCUCCGGACACACUGGCUGGGACCAACGCCAGGGCUCGUCCAGCUUCAGCAGGCUGAGACUCUGGCCAAGAAAACCAAGUCCCCGCAGCCGUCACUGGAAAGGCAGCUGGACAGAGAGAAGACCCUUGAUUUACCUGGGCUCCUAAUCUCACCUGGCUGAAGGUGUCCCCCUUGGACGUGCACUGGACCAAGGUCAACCGCUCCUCUGGAACCACUUUCCCAUCUCUAUCCGGAGCCCAUUUGGAAGCCAGGGUGGGUUAAGAAUGUGGGGAUUUUUAUAGGGCAGGAGUCUGGGAGGUCCUGGGCCUGGCAGGGAGGGACCUGUGGGAGGAGCGGAGGGGGGUUGGGACCACAUGUGCCCCAGAGCUGGAGGGGGGGCGGCAGUGGGAGCCGGAGGCCCCGGGCAGGCUGAGGGAGCCAGGCUCCCUCCAUAGGCACCCUCGUCCCUUCUGUGCUCGCCACGGCCUCGGCGGGGUGGGUGCCUGGAGCUGACCUCCCGCCACGAUGCAGCCACCGGCUCCGGGUCCCUGUGGGGGGGCCAGGCUGGGAGGGGCGGGAGGGGCACGGUGGGAGUCAGGGGCUUGCUGUUCCCAGCACACCCUGCGCCGGCGGCCUGGCCUCCACUGAGCAGCCGUCAAUCCGUCCCCCGGGAGGCAGAGUGCAGGCUCUGCCCCUUGUCUAUCUUCAGGAACAUUCGUAGCCUGAGUGCGGGCGUUCCCACAGUGCGCCGGCUGCCCUGUGAGAGGAGGGUCCCUGCCCGCCCAGGCCUGGGACCCUGGCUCCUCCCAGGGCCUGUGUCUCCCAUCGCACCACUAGGCACACCCAGUCCACCUGAGACCCUUGCAGCUGUCCAGCCACAGAGCACAUGGGGCUGCUUGUCGGGCUCCUUGCUGGCCCUCCCUGAGGGUGUGGGGAGGAGCUGCCUGCCCACCAAGGCAGGGAGAGCAGAGCCUCUGCCGGCUGCUCCUCAGGAAGGGGUGGGAAAGCCGGGACAGGAGGUGGCCUGGAAGGCGGGGGUCUCUCCUCAUGCCCUCACCUGCAUUGUCCCCUCUGGGCAUUCCCCUUGCCUGACCAGGGGCCUGAAAUCCCCUUGCACCCGGCCGGCUCCCUCCCUCUGACCUCCCCGAGUCUCUCCCUGUCCCCACGCACUGACCCUCCAUACCCGCUGGUUCCUCACUGGUCUCUGGUCAGCCCCGGGUCGUCCAGCUUUGAGCCUGAGGUCUGGGAAGCCCCUCUCUGCCCAGGAGCCUCAUUUCCCGGCCUCCUCUGCUCACAGCCAGCCCAGUGGACCUCUGGGCCCCAAGGUCCACUCGGCCCUCCCGUCUUUUCUCCCUUCCUAGGCAGGCUGGGGGGGACCCCCUGUCCCCAGCCUCCCCACGGGCCAGCAGCCUAAGGAGAGACCCCUCUGAUGUUUUUAGUAACUGCGUGGGACCCCAGCAUCUAGUCAGGACAGAGCUCCCUGCUCUUGGUAGCCUGGCCAUUUUCCUCCCCACCACGGAGGCAGAAAGGUGCUCCCUCCCGAGGGAGCACACCCCCACUGGCCGUACACCGUGUGGAAGAUUCUGGAGGGUCACCGCAUCCUCUCCCCCAGGGGAAAGACAUGCCAUCUGCAGCGUGGGGCAGGAGCACCACCUGACCUACCCUCCAGGCAGAAUCCACUGGAGAAAAUAGGGAUCAUGGCACAGCAGACCGUGCUUAUGGUGGAGGGAACACAGAUACACACGGUCUCCAUUUCCCAAAACCAUUUCUAGUUCCAUGGGAUGUCAACAGGAUUGAAGAAGUUUGGGAAUCUUGGAAGGAAGCAAAGUUUUCACUGAGGACUGGUCAGGGCCUCCACUGCACCCCGCCAACAGGAGAGAGCAACCAGAGUUUCUCAAGCUAAACUGACCUCGGAAAUUCUGUCUCUGAAACAUCUUAUGGGACCAGUGUUCCUCGGAACCCUCUUUGAGAAGCACCACCCCAGUUGCCCACAAAGCCCCAAAGUGCUAGGUUUCUGGCUCUGGCCUAGCCUGGUGUGGGGUUGGGGUCAGAGGAGGAUGCUUAGAAAGCUCCAGGUACCAGGUGUGGGCUCCUGGCAUCCCCCACCCACUUUUAGUGACUGAGGCCUGCACUGGCCCCCCUGCUCUGAGGAUUAUGUGGUGCCAAAGCCCACAACACCACCACCAAGGAUGUGGGGGCCAAAUGGCUACCCCUCCUGGGGCCCUGGAGACACAGCACAGUCUUCCACGGCCCAGUGGAGCCUGCAGCCCACAGCCUGGGAUGAAAGCUUCAGGAGGCAUCGGGAAGGCCUGGACAGGUGGCUGGGUCCCCUAGGGAGGAAGAAAGCAGGUGGGGUCUGCUCCUGCCCCUCCUAGACCUCUCCUUGCCCGCUACGCUCUCCUCCAGCCAGGAGCCUCCAGCAGGCAGGCCCCCAGGGUCUGGGACGUCUGGCCACAGAGCUGACAAAUGUGGGACCCAGCACCUGUGAGUGGGCGUGGCCCAAAUCCAGGUGGGGACCAGGCAGGUAACAGCUGGCCCAGCACCCCAGCUACCUGGCUGGAGGGACGGCUGGUUGCCCAGGGCACUCCGCCUUCCAGCCUGACCCCAAAUAGCCAACCACAUCCCGCAGCAGCACCUAUAAUCUGGCUGGAACCUCUUCUAUUGAUUCAGCAUCUAAUCUGGCUUCUCAUCUGAUCUGCGAAGGGCCCUCCACGCCUCUCCUUUCCGCUCGCUGCUUUCCUAAUCCUCUAGGCACUGCUUACUUAGCGCUCUUUCCUGAGCACCCGCCAGCUCCUUCUUCCCCUUGACAUUCCUGCCCCCGUCUCCCUCCCACUCUGCCUCCCAGCCAUGGCCUUGCCUCAACGCAGGGCCCUAGCUGGGCAACCUUGAGUCCAGGUGCAUUGCUGGAGCUCACAUCAGCCAUCCUUUCCUGCCUUCCUUCACAUACCGGCUGCCCUGAGUGUCUGCUCUGUCCCAGCACAGGCCCCACCUCUGUGUUCCUCUCCAAAAACAGUGCAUCGCUGGGGGGUCUCCAUGGGCCCCCUGGGGCAGUUACAACACCCCCUCACCCCCACCCCUGAGGCUGAUGAGAUUACACCCACUGCGCACAUGAGCAAACUGAGGCCAGAAGUUGCUCUCAGGGGCUCCGUUCACACAGCUAGGAGAGACAGAAAGGGAGUUUACGUCCUCUAGACUAAACUACAGAAGGCUGUCCUGGUGGGCAUUUCCUUGCCCGAUACUCAUGCUGACCUGCACCAGGUGGCCCUGUGACAGCUCUGAGCCUUGGGCCCCAGGGAAGCCAUACUUUACAGAAUGUGACCCAGGCUCUGACACUGUCCUGGCUUGAAGGGUCCAUGCCCAUCCCUGCCGGGCACCCUUGUUCCACCCACUGCAGACACCCUGGGCAGCACCUUCCCCGUGAAACAUCAGGCUUUGAUGUCCUUGUGGAGAGAGAUGAUUCUACUCCUAAUCGUUGAUUGGCUGCAGGGGGGUGGGGGGACACUGGAAAGGCACACCUGACAAGCCUCCAUCCUUGCCCAGCAAGAGAGGACAGGUCCCAGCCCCACGCCGCCCCCAGCCCUCCUCUCGCCCACGAGCGCAGGGGCGUGGCCUGAGCCUGGGCUCCCCAGGGUAGGCUGGGGCUCCUAGGCAGCAGGACCAUGGGCAGGACCUGCAGGGCCAAAUGCAGGUGCUCUUGUUCAGAAAUGAUAAAGUUCCAGGCAGAUACUGCAGAGCAGAGCCAAGCAUGCUCCCUGCAGGGCGUGGGGCCCCAUCGCACCAUCGCUCGCCAUACAGCUGGCCUUGCACUGGGUGCUCAGCAUGGCUCUAGGCUCAAGAUGCAAGGGAGAGUGUAGUAUUUAGGGGAAGGCUGAGAGAUGUCACAGCCCCAGUGUGGGUGGGGGAGAAGGAGCCACAGAGGCCCAGGGACAGCUGAACUUGGAGAGGCAAGCCGUGUGCUCAGUGGCAGGCGGCCUGCUCCAUGUGUGGCAGAGGUGACCCAGUCCCAGCAAGGGCCUUGGAAAGCAGCCAGCCCGGUCCCUUCACAGUGUGGGCAGUGGGGACCAAGUCAGGGGUGGGGGUAGGGAUAGGGCAGCAACCUGCUGGAAGUCACACGACUCGGCAAGAAGGGAGCCGGGGUCUAUGUGGGUAUUGAGUGCCCUGGUCUUGGCCCAGAUCUGGCACCUUCUGCCUUCUUGGAAUCCACGAGGAGAAAUUUGGGUUUAGAGGGUACAAGAGUCAGAUCAUGUCAGCUACCUUGAGAUGCAGCCCAGAGCAGGGGGUGGUGUUGGACUUAUGUUUUCAGAACCAAAGUGGGAAAUGGUCUCUCUCUUGGCCCUAGAUAUCUAGUUGUCACUCUCUGUUUACUCAGCUGUCUUCCCACCAGACUGAGGCUGACAUGGCAGGUGCUCAGUGAGUGUUUGUGGGUGGA